GCGCUCGUAGCUCAGUAGGAUAGAGCGUCCCCCUCCUAAGGGGAAGGCCGGGGGUUCGAUUCCUCUCGGGCGCA
This 74-nucleotide transfer RNA is filed under the name Clostridium sp. HMP27. It matches the Rfam family "tRNA". Rfam says of the family: Transfer RNA (tRNA) molecules are approximately 80 nucleotides in length. Their secondary structure includes four short double-helical elements and three loops (D, anti-codon, and T loops). The record is from Rfam by way of RNAcentral. Lineage: Bacteria; Bacillati; Bacillota; Clostridia; Eubacteriales; Clostridiaceae.